UCCCAUGUGGCUCUACUGAUAAUCCAGUUCAGAUCAGGCCACAGAGGCCAACCUCUGGUGCUCUUGCAUAUAAUCCCAUGUAUAGUUGCAUACAAAGGCUCCAAGCUACCAAGGUCUCAGUGUGACAUAACAGGAAGCCAAUGUCUCUAAGGAGGCCCCAUGAGCUUGUUAAAUCCCAUGAAAUAAGCUAAUAAGAUGUAUAUUUUAGUCACCUGUUAUGGAUUCUAGCUGAUCCUGUGCAGAUUUCAUGCUCAGAACAAGAAACAUUUUCAUUUUAGAGAUGGGCUUGAAUCAUACUCCUCCUGCUCCCAGACUUCAUUUGCUCGCUGGCUUUCAGCCCUUCUCUGUGCCAUGCAUUGCAGGUGAAAUUGAGCUGGCAGACGUGAGUGGCCAGGCGAAGAAUUUGCUUCAGAACCAACAUUGCUAUGCCUCAGAGCUUCUGAGCGAGAGAGAGAUCUGUGUACUCCUCAGUGUCACACGUGGUGAAGGUUCUUCAGAGGUAGUAUUUACACCACUGCUGAAAGAUGAAGGAGUUAUUAACCCUAAAUUCCUUGCUAAACUUUGGAAAUGGGAAGAUUCCAAAGUCUCUUCUACCAGAGUGAAAUCCAAAAAGGCUGGCAAAAAACCAACACGGCUCUUGGAGGUUCCGUCUCCAGAAGGUAAACGGAGUCCAUCGCCUCAGGGCCACAGGACUAAAACUAUGGUUUCCUCUCCGAAACAAUCCAGGAGACCCUGAUAGUGGCAAAUCCCAAGGGAUGGUUGGUGCUGAGCUGUUGGAGGACCUCUCCUUUCCGGCUGCUAUUUGAAAAUGUUGUUUCAUGUUUGCUGGCUUGUUCCUUGGUGAAGCUCCUGUUGGAUGGGUUGGGUCCAGGAGUCUGGAACACUAGGAACGUUACAUGCAUGUAUUUCCUUUCAUUCUGAAUGAUCCCAAAUUUGCUGUGGAAAAACACUUCCAUUCUCUGCUGGCCAAUUUGAAAGGAAGUGAGAUAACUGCUUCUUUCAGGAUGGCUCACAGAAAAAUGCAAAGUUGCAUCUCAAGAGGGAGUACCAUGAACUACUGAUCUAAGCAUGGGCAUAGAAGGGGAGACCUCCCGAGCUGUAAUCCCUUUAUUGAGCCCCACUACACUGGACCACUGAUUUAUUGUUAUUUCAGCAGCAAAGGUGCAUGACAGACCCAUUUAAAAUCACAGCUCCAUACCCCAAGGAAUGUACAGUCCAGCUAAAACUCUUUUUAGCUGGUGACUAAUCUCACUGAACUAGUACUUCAGUGGGAUUACUCACAUGCUUGGAUUUAGGCACAUGCUUAAGGACCUUGCUGAACAGAGGUUGUAAUCAUCACUUUCUGUGAAACAUACUAUAGUGCUAGAGUGGAAAUUGGCUGACCUUCCUUUUUGUAAGGCCUGGGUCAUGUAUCUUUUGUCCUUGGCUCUUCCUGUGGAUGAUUCAGAUGGAACAGCUCAGAACAUUAGCCUCGCCUGGUGGCUUUCUUUGCACUGCUACAAAAGUGAAAACUAUAGGAGGAUUAUAGCUAGCUGAUCAAGUGAGUUUAUGCAGGCAAAAUAUUCACUGAAGCCUGAGUAAGGACCACAGGUUCAGGCUCUAUAAGAUUACUAGAUUAUUGGAUGUAAACUACAAUAUACAACCUGCACUGAUGUCAUGGUUAAUGUGUAACCUGCUUUAUGGGUACCAGUUGGAGGUUCUUUUGCUGCUUGGCUAUUUUCUCUGUGAUUCAGAAUUUUACUUUGCUCCUUCUGAUUCAUGUAACCUUUGCUUUAUGUUAUGUACUUCAUCCCUUGGUGUGUCAGUGAACCAUUAGGACUGUUUGUGUUGAAUAGCUUUUAUACAUGGUUUCCCUUACAGAGAGAGGAAACAUUAAAAUAGUCAGUUUCUUUGGAGUUACUCUGCAUUUAUACCAGAUUUCAGAGUAGCAGCCGUAUUAGUCUGUAUUCUCAAAAAGAAAAGGAGUACUUGUGGCACCUUAGAGACUAAGCAAUUUAUUAUCUGGCCCAUGACCCUCAGACUUGUGAAUGUCACUCCAUGGUAGAGCCUGCAGCCCAACAGGACCCAGCCAUGAGUGUCGUGUUUAGGGUGGGUCUGGUCAGAAAACUAUGCAAUUCUCUGACCUUGGGUCACGUCAGCUCUACUCCUCUUGCCCGUGAGGCUGGUGGCUGUGUCUGCAUGCCCCAUUCCUGCUGGAUGCUGCCAUUCUGCUGUAGAGUGAACGUGCUAAGGAGUUGCAGUUCCUCUCAUCCCCCAGCACGGGAGCAGGACAGGCAGCCACCAGCUCAUGUGUCUGUGGCCGCACCAACCCCUGGGCAGCAGUGGUGCUGACUCUGGUUCAGGGGAAAGGUCAGGGUUGGGUGGGAAAACUACUUAACUGGCUCGGAUGGGUGUGGGCCCAUUUCAGGUCUGGGUCAGGCUAACAACUUAAGCCCAAGCAGACCUCUACUCCGUGGUACCAGGAUCAGAUUCAGUUCUCAUUUACACCGGUAUUGAAUCCAGAAUGGGCCAGUCCAGAUGGUCAUAGUGGAUUUCAUUCUAGGAUCUCAAAUACAUUGCUAAGGUGUCAUAUUAUCCCCAUUUUGCCGAUGGAGAGACUUAUGUUGCACAGACAGGUUAAGUGACUUACCCAAGGUUUUGCAGCAGCUCGGUUACAGAAUAGAGGUAGCCCUCCCACUUCUGCACUCUGAUCACCAGACCAUGUUGCCUCUCAUGUUUAAGUACCUCUGCAAAAGAAAAAUGUUCCUGGGUUUAGUGUGAGUGAGGCAAGAUGGACUGAGACUGUUGUCAAGGUGAAACCAUCGUAGCAAAGAGACAAGCCCCUAGUGAUCUAAGGUAUAACAAUGGAGUCCCUGAAAGGCAGGUGCUGUCAGAUGACAGUCAUGCCUCAGGAUGAGAGUCAAGGAAUGUGGUCUCCCCUACAGGCAAGGUCUGCACAACACAGACAUGAUCUUCAGAGGAGUGGAACUUCCAAAGAACACAAGUGAAGUCAAUGGAAGCGGUGGAUGCUUAGCACCUCUGAAAACCAGGCCUUCUGUAUUUAGUGUGACUUCAGCACCUAGACACCAGACUUCCAACAGAGUUCAGCAUCCAAUAGCUAAGAGGUACCUAAAUCUACGGUAAUGGCAGAUACAGGAGGCUGAGUGCUUCUGGAAACACUUGCCACAUAUUUAGAUCCUUAAAUGGGGGCUGAGUAAUCUUGAAAAUGUCUGGAAUGAUACCGUUUGUACUGUGUGGAGGGGUGUUUUGUUGACCAAUUUCUGUGUAUAUACUGAGGGUGAAAUCCUGUCCCCACUGACUUCAAUGAGGCCUAGAUUUCACCACAAAUGCUGUUAAUCUAUACAAUGAGUUGGUGGGGGAGGUGGUUAUGUUGUUGCAUGUGCUUAUUUUGUACCUCAGUGCAACUAGGGUUAGUUUGGAUCGUUUGGCAAACAGUGACCAGCUUGCAUGUGCACUGAGUAACUGUAUGCACCUAAUAUAUGUCCUGUCUGUUCCAUCCUCACUCAUGUAAAUAUAGAUGCUAGUCCUAUUAAGUAUCUCAGUAGACUAGGCAUUUCAUAGCUAAAACAUCAUCAUAAAACAAUCAGGGUGAGGACCAUACUUUUUAUUAAGGAAAUUAGGAUGUCUGUAAGACAAAUGACAGCAUGUUAAAACAAUUCUGGGGCCAGCUUCUCUCCCCACAGGUGGCUCAAGUUGGGCAUCUAAAAGUAGUGAACAUUUCUGACAAUGUUGCCAUUUGUGUCCUGGUGUCCCUCUCUGUAAAAUAAGGAUGAUAGUUAUUUGUGUCACAGAGGUUCAGAGAGGAUGAAUUAAUUAACCAUUCUAAAGCCCUUUGAAAAUGAGAAGUGCUACAAAAUGAUAAUUACAGGUUUCAGAGUAACAGCCGUGUUUGUCUGUAUUCGCAAAAAGAGAAGGAGUACUUGUGGCACCUUAGAGACUAACCAAUUUAUUUGAGCAUAAGCUUUCGUGAGCUACAGCUCACUUCAUCGGUGCCACAAGUACUCCUUCUUUUUUUGAAAAUGCUAAUUGUUACCUGAAACUGCUGGCCUUAUCUAUGAUAUUUCCAUUUCCCCCCACUCCUUUAAGUCUCUCCUUAAAAUACCCUUCUUCCAGGUGGCCUAAAACCACUAGUCUCUCAGCUGUAUGGAAACAUGAACAAAAAGAUGACAUAAUUAAAGAGAUUUUAAUAGGAUAAACAAAUAAGAUGUGCUAUACUUCACUGCUGGAUAUGCUUGUUUUUUUCUUGCAUUCUAUCCUUCAUCUUUGGUCUGUCCAUUGUCUAUGUGGGGCAGGGACCUUUUCUCUUUAUUAUCUGUAAAGUUCCCCGUACUGUUUUGGCAUUAUAUGUGUAAGAAGCAGAGAUGAAAUUCUGUCCCCCUUGAAAGCAAUGGGAGUUUUUCCCAUUGUCAUCUUUGGGGCCAGGACUUCACUCCAUGUUUCUAGGGAACUUAGAUAGUCAAGUAUAAGAGGGGUAGCAUCUGAAGAAGUGGUGUUUUUUACCCACAAAAGCUUAUGCCCAAA
Caretta caretta (loggerhead turtle) is the source of this 4521-nucleotide long non-coding RNA. RefSeq lists it as uncharacterized. Lineage: Eukaryota; Metazoa; Chordata; Testudines; Cheloniidae. The record is from RefSeq and is a predicted model, not a curated record.